This 108-nucleotide microRNA precursor is filed under the name Trifolium pratense (red clover). RNAcentral's name for it is "pre miRNA MIR811". The record is from RNAcentral. Lineage: Eukaryota; Viridiplantae; Streptophyta; Magnoliopsida; Fabales; Fabaceae.
UACUCCCUCCGGUCUUAAUUAUAAGCAAAUAUUCACUUUUCAGAUUCAUUGAAUAACUAAUGUAUCUGAAAAGUGAAUAUUUGCUUAUAAUUAAGGCCGGAGGGAGUA